AUUGAACGCUGGCGGCAGGCCUAACACAUGCAAGUCGAGCGGAUGAGUGGAGCUUGCUCCAUGAUUCAGCGGCGGACGGGUGAGUAAUGCCUAGGAAUCUGCCUGGUAGUGGGGGACAACGUUUCGAAAGGAACGCUAAUACCGCAUACGUCCUACGGGAGAAAGCAGGGGACCUUCGGGCCUUGCGCUAUCAGAUGAGCCUAGGUCGGAUUAGCUAGUAGGUGAGGUAAUGGCUCACCUAGGCGACGAUCCGUAACUGGUCUGAGAGGAUGAUCAGUCACACUGGAACUGAGACACGGUCCAGACUCCUACGGGAGGCAGCAGUGGGGAAUAUUGGACAAUGGGCGAAAGCCUGAUCCAGCCAUGCCGCGUGCAGGAUGACGGUCCUAUGGAUUGUAAACUGCUUUUGUACAGGAAG
RNAcentral lists this ribosomal RNA (418 nucleotides) under uncultured bacterium. RNAcentral's name for it is "bacterial SSU rRNA". It matches the Rfam family "Bacterial small subunit ribosomal RNA", at positions 30 to 447 of the family's 1533-position model. The record is from RNAcentral.